ACCCAUGUGAACAUACCUAACGUUGCCUCGGCAGGUCGCACCUACCUUGUAGCACCCUACCCUGUAGGGCCUACCCGGGAGGUGCGGGUAAGCCUGCCGGCGGCCCACCAAACUCUGUUUGAUAUUGAAUUCUGAACCUAUAACUAAAUAAGUUAAAACUUUCAACAACGGAUCUCUUGGUUCUGGCAUCGAUGAAGAACGCAGCGAAAUGCGAUAAGUAAUGUGAAUUGCAGAAUUCAGUGAAUCAUCGAAUCUUUGAACGCAUAUUGCGCCCAUUAGUAUUCUAGUGGGCAGGACCGUUCGAGCGUCAUUUCAACCCUUAAGCCUUCGUUGCUUAGUGUUGGGAGCCUACGGCAACGUAGCUCCUCAAAGUUAGUGGCGGAGUUGGUUCACACUCUAGACGUAGUAAUUUUUUAUCUCGCCUAUUAGUUGGACUAAUCCCCUGCCGUAAAACCCCCAAUUUAUCAAGGUUGACCUCGAAUCGGUUCAGACAAACUCGCUAAAUUGAAGCAUCUUAGUCAGCGAAGGAAAAGAAACCAACAGGGAUUGCCCUAGUAACGGCGAGUGAAGCGGCAACAGCUCAAAUUUGAAAUCUGGCCCUCGGGUCCGAGUUGUAAUUUGUAGAGGAUGCUUUUGGCGCGGUGCCUUCCGAGUUCCCUGGAACGGGACGCCUUAGAGGGUGAGAGCCCCGUACGGUUGGACACCAAGCCUCUGUAAAGCUCCUUCGACGAGUCGAGUAGCUUGGGAAUGCUGCUCUAAAUGGGAGGUAAAUUUCUUCUAAAGCUAAAUAUUGGCCAGAGACCGAUAGCGCACAAGUAGAGUGAUCGAAAGA
RNAcentral lists this ribosomal RNA (832 nucleotides) under fungal endophyte. RNAcentral's name for it is "eukaryotic LSU rRNA". The stretch from base 472 to 832 matches the Rfam family "Eukaryotic large subunit ribosomal RNA", at positions 1 to 364 of the family's 3401-position model. The record is from RNAcentral. Lineage: Eukaryota; Fungi.